This is a long non-coding RNA of Camellia sinensis, 566 nucleotides long. RefSeq lists it as uncharacterized. The record is from RefSeq and is a predicted model, not a curated record. NCBI's taxonomy places the organism in Eukaryota, Viridiplantae, Streptophyta, Magnoliopsida, Ericales, Theaceae.
UGAACACUGAAUCCUUCACUUCUUGCUUAUUUAAUGAUUCGGCUUUUGAGCAUUCUGUAGGUGAACAUUGUGCAUUACUUUUGGCUUUAAAGCGUUCCUGAAGAAUUUGAGUCAGCUCAUUCCAUUCAGAUGCUUCCCAGUGGAGGAUGUACAGCUUGGAAAUCUGCUUACGUGCGAGUUGUUGAGGGAUCAGCUUGCUCAAAGCUUUCAAAAACAGACUCCCAUUUGCUUGGAUCGAUUCCUACAAUAAGAAAAUAAAGGAGAGAGGAUCUCUUUGCGUGGUUUACAUAUUGCUUCAAAAUUGUUUUAUGUGUACUCCAUGAUUCCUUUGGAUUGAGAUGAAACUUCCUGCCGUUGCUAGAAGUGUUUGGCUUCUCACACCAUCCUCGCAGAACAAUGUAGCCAGCUACGAGGAAUUCUCCAAGGCAGGAUCACAUUGGACCCAUCCUUGCAGGGUAAAAUAAGACAAAGGCGUGUCCAAUGAUCAGAGACAAAAAAUUUACAAACCAUGAUGGCGAGGCGAACGACAAAGACACUGUAGUAUGAUGAGAGACAAUGGCUGCUUG